UACAGAGGGGCCAGCGUUAUUCGGAAUUAUUGGGCGUAAAGGGCGCGUAGGCGGCUUUGCGUGUCUUUCGUGAAAUCCCUACGGCCUGCAACUGAGGACGUGCGGAAGAAACUGCAGGGCUGGAGUCCGGGAGAGGAGGGUGGAAGUUCCCAGUGUAGGCGGUGAAAUGACGUAGAUAUUGGGAGGAACACCGGUGGCGAAGGCGGCCCUCUGGACCCGGUACUGACGCUGAUGCGCGAAAGCGUGGGGAGCAAACGGG
Molecule: ribosomal RNA, 259 nt
Filed under: uncultured bacterium
Lineage: Bacteria
Description: partial 16S ribosomal RNA
Rfam family: Bacterial small subunit ribosomal RNA
Source: RNAcentral